Molecule: long non-coding RNA, 1542 nt
Filed under: Ananas comosus (pineapple)
Lineage: Eukaryota; Viridiplantae; Streptophyta; Magnoliopsida; Poales; Bromeliaceae
Description: long non-coding RNA (ACOM_LNC024552)
Source: RNAcentral
AUUUUAGAUAUUUUAGACAAGUGAUUUGGACCCAAUAAGGCGGCAUUUUUUGUAAAGGGAUAAUUUUUAUACAAUUUUCUAUAAACAUAUUGAAUAGUAGAUAUAUUCCAAUAAAGUUUAAAUUUUUAAUUUUUUUUUUCAAAAAGUCCUAAUGAUUUCAAAUAUAUUCCUGCUUUUAGUGUUCGUUAGAAAAAUGUAGUUAACCAUAAGGGCGCGUUUGGUUCGGUUUAUCUUGACAGAAUUACGGGCAAUCCCGUCAGGCUUACUGUGUUUGGUUCAUCCGGUAUGUAAUCUGUUCGGUAUUGCAGCAUUACAAAAAGUGUAAGAUUACAUCGAAAAUAUUACGGGGGGUGUAUCUUGUAUUACUAAAAGCGGCCAAUCUUACAUGUUAUAUAAAAUUGCAAGUUUACCCCUCCAACUCCCGAAACCCCUUCAAUAUGUCAUUUUAAAAUUUUAAUUUAAAAUUUUGAAUUGUCAACUUUUAAUUUUAAUUUUUAAUUUUCAAUUUUUAAUUUUCAAAUUUUAAAUUUAAUUUUUAAACUUGAAGUUUUAAAUUUUAAAUUUUAAUUUUUAAUUUUUAAAAAAUUAAAAAUUAAAAGUUACAUUUAAAUAAAAAGUUUUAAAUUUUAAAUUUUAAAUUUUGAAAUUCAAAUUUGUAUUUAAAUUCUAAAUUAUAAAUUUAGAUUUUAAAUUUAUAAAAUUCAUAUUUAAAUUUUUAUUUAAAACAUUAAAUUUUAUAUUUUUUGUUAGAAUUUAAAAUUUAAAAUUUAAAAUUUUAAAAAUUUAAAUUAUUUAAAAUAAAAUUUAGUAAAAAACUAAUAUUUGUAAACAGUAAAAUUUUUUUUUGUCAAAUAUGGCUAAAUGUAAUUUUGGAAUAGUCUAUAUUUUACUGUCACGGUUAUUGAAUUUUAUAAACUGAACCAUACAUAGUAAUGCUAUAAACACUACAAUCCAGCAUUACAUUACCGUAUUAAACCCGAAACCCAAGUUCGAAUCCUAGUUGAUUCAUAUUUACAGCUAAGUUUAUUUCUAAAUGAAAUAAACGAAGCGGGUAGCGUCCUACCUAUCUCUCCAAAGAAAAAAAAAAAAAAGUAGUAAUCUUAUUUAGAAAUCCAAUAUACCUAGAUAUAUCGAAAUACUAUGUAAUAUUACAUAACUCGAACCAAAAUACUUAACCUUGGUUAGUUAGUAAGGUAAAUUGUUCUUUUUGUCCAUAUGAUAUUAUACUUUCUUCUCUCAAUCAAAAUUCUAGUUCGAUCAAAACCCAAACAAUGGAAACUCUUCUUCCUCUUCCUCUUCCUCUCUCUCCUUCAUGCUAGUUUCGAACUCAUAACUAGAGUUUCUCCGUCCCUAUUCAUCCACGAUGUGUAUUGCUUCACCGAUAUCGAGAGCCAAAGAAUUAAUAUUAGAAUAGUGUAGAAACCCGCGCGAUACGGCAGAUAAAAAUUAUAAAUUAAAUAUUCAAAUAAAAUAUAAAAAUAUAGCAAAAAAUAAUCAAUAUUUGAUUGGUUAAUAAUAUAAAAAUAUAGUGAAUUUUUUUUA